GGUUAAGCGACUAAGCGUACACGGUGGAUGCCCUGGCAGUCAGAGGCGAUGAAGGACGUGCUAAUCUGCGAUAAGCGUCGGUAAGGUGAUAUGAACCGUUAUAACCGGCGAUUUCCGAAUGGGGAAACCCAGUGUGUUUCGACACACUAUCAUUAACUGAAUCCAUAGGUUAAUGAGGCGAACCGGGGGAACUGAAACAUCUAAGUACCCCGAGGAAAAGAAAUCAACCGAGAUUCCCCCAGUAGCGGCGAGCGAACGGGGAGCAGCCCAGAGCCUGAAUCAGUGUGUGUGUUAGUGGAAGCGUCUGGAAAGGCGCGCGAUACAGGGUGACAGCCCCGUACACAAAAAUGCACAUACUGUGAGCUCGAUGAGUAGGGCGGGACACGUGGUAUCCUGUCUGAAUAUGGGGGGACCAUCCUCCAAGGCUAAAUACUCCUGACUGACCGAUAGUGAACCAGUACCGUGAGGGAAAGGCGAAAAGAACCCCGGCGAGGGGAGUGAAAAAGAACCUGAAACCGUGUACGUACAAGCAGUGGGAGCCUCUUAAUGGGGUGACUGCGUACCUUUUGUAUAAUGGGUCAGCGACUUAUAUUCUGUAGCAAGGUUAACCGAAUAGGGGAGCCGAAGGGAAACCGAGUCUUAACUGGGCGUUAAGUUGCAGGGUAUAGACCCGAAACCCGGUGAUCUAGCCAUGGGCAGGUUGAAGGUUGGGUAACACUAACUGGAGGACCGAACCGACUAAUGUUGAAAAAUUAGCGGAUGACUUGUGGCUGGGGGUGAAAGGCCAAUCAAACCGGGAGAUAGCUGGUUCUCCCCGAAAGCUAUUUAGGUAGCGCCUCGUGAAUUCAUCUCCGGGGGUAGAGCACUGUUUCGGCAAGGGGGUCAUCCCGACUUACCAACCCGAUGCAAACUGCGAAUACCGGAGAAUGUUAUCACGGGAGACACACGGCGGGUGCUAACGUCCGUCGUGAAGAGGGAAACAACCCAGACCGCCAGCUAAGGUCCCAAAGUCAUGGUUAAGUGGGAAACGAUGUGGGAAGGCCCAGACAGCCAGGAUGUUGGCUUAGAAGCAGCCAUCAUUUAAAGAAAGCGUAAUAGCUCACUGGUCGAGUCGGCCUGCGCGGAAGAUGUAACGGGGCUAAACCAUGCACCGAAGCUGCGGCAGCGACACUAUGUGUUGUUGGGUAGGGGAGCGUUCUGUAAGCCUGUGAAGGUGUACUGUGAGGUAUGCUGGAGGUAUCAGAAGUGCGAAUGCUGACAUAAGUAACGAUAAAGCGGGUGAAAAGCCCGCUCGCCGGAAGACCAAGGGUUCCUGUCCAACGUUAAUCGGGGCAGGGUGAGUCGACCCCUAAGGCGAGGCCGAAAGGCGUAGUCGAUGGGAAACAGGUUAAUAUUCCUGUACUUGGUGUUACUGCGAAGGGGGGACGGAGAAGGCUAUGUUGGCCGGGCGACGGUUGUCCCGGUUUAAGCGUGUAGGCUGGUUUUCCAGGCAAAUCCGGAAAAUCAAGGCUGAGGCGUGAUGACGAGGCACUACGGUGCUGAAGCAACAAAUGCCCUGCUUCCAGGAAAAGCCUCUAAGCAUCAGGUAACAUCAAAUCGUACCCCAAACCGACACAGGUGGUCAGGUAGAGAAUACCAAGGCGCUUGAGAGAACUCGGGUGAAGGAACUAGGCAAAAUGGUGCCGUAACUUCGGGAGAAGGCACGCUGAUAUGUAGGUGAAGUCCCUCGCGGAUGGAGCUGAAAUCAGUCGAAGAUACCAGCUGGCUGCAACUGUUUAUUAAAAACACAGCACUGUGCAAACACGAAAGUGGACGUAUACGGUGUGACGCCUGCCCGGUGCCGGAAGGUUAAUUGAUGGGGUUAGCGGUAACGCGAAGCUCUUGAUCGAAGCCCCGGUAAACGGCGGCCGUAACUAUAACGGUCCUAAGGUAGCGAAAUUCCUUGUCGGGUAAGUUCCGACCUGCACGAAUGGCGUAAUGAUGGCCAGGCUGUCUCCACCCGAGACUCAGUGAAAUUGAACUCGCUGUGAAGAUGCAGUGUACCCGCGGCAAGACGGAAAGACCCCGUGAACCUUUACUAUAGCUUGACACUGAACAUUGAGCCUUGAUGUGUAGGAUAGGUGGGAGGCUUUGAAGUGUGGACUCCAGUCUGCAUGGAGCCGGCCUUGAAAUACCACCCUUUAAUGUUUGAUGUUCUAACGUUGGCCCCUUACCGGGGUUGCGGACAGUGUCUGGUGGGUAGUUUGACUGGGGCGGUCUCCUCCUAAAGAGUAACGGAGGAGCACGAAGGUUGGCUAAUCCUGGUCGGACAUCAGGAGGUUAGUGCAAUGGCAUAAGCCAGCUUGACUGCGAGCGUGACGGCGCGAGCAGGUGCGAAAGCAGGUCAUAGUGAUCCGGUGGUUCUGAAUGGAAGGGCCAUCGCUCAACGGAUAAAAGGUACUCCGGGGAUAACAGGCUGAUACCGCCCAAGAGUUCAUAUCGACGGCGGUGUUUGGCACCUCGAUGUCGGCUCAUCACAUCCUGGGGCUGAAGUAGGUCCCAAGGGUAUGGCUGUUCGCCAUUUAAAGUGGUACGCGAGCUGGGUUUAGAACGUCGUGAGACAGUUCGGUCCCUAUCUGCCGUGGGCGCUGGAGAACUGAGGGGGGCUGCUCCUAGUACGAGAGGACCGGAGUGGACGCAUCACUGGUGUUCGGGUUGUCAUGCCAAUGGCACUGCCCGGUAGCUAAAUGCGGAAGAGAUAAGUGCUGAAAGCAUCUAAGCACGAAACUUGCCCCGAGAUGAGUUCUCCCUGACUCCUUGAGAGUCCUGAAGGAACGUUGAAGACGACGACGUUGAUAGGCCGGGUGUGUAAGCGCAGCGAUGCGUUGAGCUAACCGGUACUAAUGAACCGUGAGGCUUAACCUU
Molecule: ribosomal RNA, 2904 nt
Filed under: Escherichia coli
Lineage: Bacteria; Pseudomonadati; Pseudomonadota; Gammaproteobacteria; Enterobacterales; Enterobacteriaceae
Description: 23S ribosomal RNA
Rfam family: Bacterial large subunit ribosomal RNA
Source: RNAcentral